RNAcentral lists this ribosomal RNA (497 nucleotides) under uncultured bacterium. RNAcentral describes it as "partial 16S ribosomal RNA". It matches the Rfam family "Bacterial small subunit ribosomal RNA", at positions 28 to 507 of the family's 1533-position model. The record is from RNAcentral.
GGUGAACGCUGGCGGCGUGCCUAAUACAUGCAAGUCGAGCGAACAGACAAUGAGCGCGCUCCCUUGAGGGUGGCGGCGGGCGGGCGAGUGACACGUGGAUCACCUACCUCUAAGACUGGGAUAAUUUCGGGAAACCACAUCCAAUACCGGAUAAUAUAUUCAACCGGAGGGAGCAAUAGUGAUAGAGGGUUUUGCCGUCACAUUGAGAUGAAUCCGGGCCGCAUUAGCUAGUUGGUAAGGUAACGGCUUACCAAGGCAACGAUGCGUAGCCGACCUGAGAGGAUGAUCAGCCACACUGGAACUGAGACACGGUCCAGACUCCUACGGGAGGCAGCAGUAGGGAAUCUUGCGCAAUGGGCGCAAGCCUGACGGAGCAACGCCGCGUGGGUGAAGAAGGUCUUCGGAUCGUAAAGCUCUGUUAUUGGGGAAGAACAACUGUGGAAGUAACCAUGCACGUCUUGACGGUACCUAAUCAGAAAGCCCCGGCUAACUACGUG